Molecule: ribosomal RNA, 406 nt
Filed under: uncultured bacterium
Lineage: Bacteria
Description: partial 16S ribosomal RNA
Rfam family: Bacterial small subunit ribosomal RNA
Source: RNAcentral
AUUGAACGCUGGCGGCAGGCCUAACACAUGCAAGUCGAACGAGUGGCGGACGGGUGAGUAAUGUCUGGGAAACUGCCCGAUGGAGGGGGAUAACUACUGGAAACGGUAGCUAAUACCGCAUACCAUCGGAUGUGCCCAGAUGGGAUUAGCUUGUAGGUGAGGUAACGGCUCACCUAGGCGACGAUCCCUAGCUGGGCUGAGAGGAUGACCAGCCACACUGGAACUGAGACACGGUCCAGACGCAUACGGGAGGCAGCGGUGGGGAGUAUUGCACAAUGGGCGCAAGCAUGAGACAGCAAUGCGGCGUGUAUGAAGAAGGCCUUCGUGUGGUAAAGUACUUUCAGAGGGGAGUCGGUACCCGCAGAAGAAGCACCGGCUAACUCCGUGCCAGAAGCCGCGUGAAUAC